AUUUUAUGCCUUCCGUGGGGAUGGUGCUGCCUGUUGGUGCGGGGAUGUGGCCAUGGGGCUGAGGCUCAUUCUGGGAAGGAUCUGGGUGCACUGUAGACACUAAGCCUGUCCUUUUGUCAUGCCAGGCAAUGUGGUGAGUUCCCCAGCAAGUCCACCACCCCCAGGUUAGUGAUUCCCUCCUGCACCUCCUGUACCCCCAGGCAGCAGCCCCUCACACAACGCCCAGCUCCCUUCCAGAGGUGAGACAUUGCUCAUCAGCCAUUCCCAGCACACCUGUCCUCCAAGGCUUGCCUUGGCCACACUGUGUUCCUCCUCUCUCCCAGGCUCAGCCAUGCCCCUGGAGGUCUGGAUCCUGCGCUCUGCUCUCAGCCUGCUCCUGCUGCUGUCUGCUCCCAUCAUCACCCUCCUCCUGGAGAGAUGCAGCCACGGUGCCAACGAGGCCAGACAGCCUGGAGACGUCCCUGUCCCCAUGGAGCUCUGAUGCCCUCCUGGGCUCCAUGUUAUCCAGAGCCUGCUCCACAAGACCAGAGCGUGACCCCCUCAUAUUUGCCAGACUCCCACUGCCAUUGGUCUCAAUGCAGCUGAGGCAGCAUGCCCAAGGGAUGUGCUGCCACUGCUCUGCUUCCCUUGGCUCAGACCCUGCUUUCUGCUAUUACUUUUGACUAUUACUUUAAACGGAGACGGGAUAACUUUUCACCAAUCAUAACUAAGAUAUGCUUGACUAGAGUCACUCAAGCUCCACCUAAAAGAUAGAAAAUAAUAUAAAUUGGCCUAAGAGAGAGGGGAUGGUGGGGAAGAUACCACUGUCAGGGGAGAUACCACCCCGAGGGAAUACACCAUCCUGAGGACCUCCUGACUCCUGGGAUCAGUUGAUGGGCUGAGCUUCUCUUCUACCCUCUCCCCCAUUGGGAGGCCUUUGGGUGAGAUUUGAAAUCUUGGUUAUUCUGUGUGUCUCCGCUGAAACUUUGAAAUCUCUAUAGAGUCUUUGUGCCUUUUAACGCACUUCCAGGUUGCACACCUGUGUCACCUACAUGUAUGUCACCUGUGUAUUUCAUACAUGCUAGCUUGUUUUUGCAGACAGUAACUAUGGCUGGCAAUCCAAAGAACCUGUGUAACUGUUGCUGUAAUAAAUCACACUUGAAUGCAUUGUUCCUACCCA
This 1159-nucleotide long non-coding RNA is filed under the name Anas platyrhynchos platyrhynchos (common mallard). Its description in RNAcentral is "lncRNA (ENSAPLG00000029782.1)". Lineage: Eukaryota; Metazoa; Chordata; Aves; Anseriformes; Anatidae. The record is from RNAcentral.